This is a small nuclear RNA of Oryctolagus cuniculus (rabbit), 101 nucleotides long. The record is from Ensembl. Lineage: Eukaryota; Metazoa; Chordata; Mammalia; Lagomorpha; Leporidae.
AUGCUCACUUAAGCAGCACAUAAACUAAAAUUGAAAUGAUACAGAGAUUAACAUGGCUCCUGCUGCAAGGAUGGCACACAAGUUUGUAAUUGCAUAUUUUU